This 301-nucleotide ribosomal RNA is filed under the name uncultured bacterium. RNAcentral describes it as "partial 16S ribosomal RNA". It matches the Rfam family "Bacterial small subunit ribosomal RNA", at positions 509 to 807 of the family's 1533-position model. The record is from RNAcentral.
CAGCCGCCGCGGUAAAACGGAGGGGGCUAGCGUUGUUCGGAAUUACUGGGCGUAAAGCGCACGUAGGCGGCUUGGUAAGUUAGAGGUGAAAGCCUGGAGCUCAACCCCAGAAUUGCCUUUAAGACUGCCGAGCUAGCAGGUGAGAGAGGUAAGUGGAAUUCCGAGUGUAGAGGUGAAAUUCGUAGAUAUUCGGAAGAACACCAGUGGCGAAGGCGACUCUCUGGUCUGUAACUGACGCUGAGGAGCGAAAGCGUGGGGAGCGAACAGGAUUAGAUACCCCUGUAGUCCCUGUCUCUUAUAC